This 207-nucleotide ribosomal RNA is filed under the name uncultured bacterium. Its description in RNAcentral is "partial 16S ribosomal RNA". It matches the Rfam family "Bacterial small subunit ribosomal RNA", at positions 568 to 774 of the family's 1533-position model. The record is from RNAcentral.
CGCGUAGGCGGUUAUUUAAGUCGGAUGUGAAAGCCCUGGGCUCAACCUGGGAACUGCACUCGAUACUGGAUAACUAGAGUACGAGAGAGGGAGGUAGAAUUCCACGUGUAGCGGUGAAAUGCGUAGAUAUGUGGAGGAAUACCGGUGGCGAAGGCGGCCUCCUGGCUCGAUACUGACGCUGAGGUGCGAAAGCGUGGGGAGCAAACA